GUAGGUGGCAAGCGUUGUCCGGAAUUAUUGGGCGUAAAGCGCGCGCAGGUGGUCUUUAAGUCUGAUGUGAAAGACCCCCGGGCUCAACCCGGGGAGGGUCAUUGGAAACUGGGGAACUUGAGUGCAGGAGAGGAAAGUGGAAUUCCACGUGUAGCGGUGAAAUGCGUGGAUAUGUGGAGGAACACCAGUGGCGAAGGCGACUUUCUGGCCUGUAACUGACACUGAGGCGCGAAAGCGCGGGGAGCAAACAGGAUUAGAUACCCUGGUAGUCCACGCCGUAAACGAUGAGUGCUAAGUGUGGGGGGUUUCCGCCCCUCAGUGCUGCAGCUAACGCAUUAAGCACUCCGCCUGGGGAGUACGGUCGCAAAGACUG
RNAcentral lists this ribosomal RNA (373 nucleotides) under uncultured organism. RNAcentral describes it as "partial 16S ribosomal RNA". It matches the Rfam family "Bacterial small subunit ribosomal RNA", at positions 527 to 896 of the family's 1533-position model. The record is from RNAcentral.